AGCAGCCGCGGUAAUUCCAGCUCCAAUAGCGUAUAUUAAAGUUGUUGCAGUUAAAAAGCUCGUAGUUGAAUUUCGGGAUCAAAUCGUUGGUCGUGCCUCGGUACGUACUGGCAUUAUUGAUUUCUCCCUUCUGAAGAACCACGAUGUCAUUAAUUUGGUGUCGUGGGGAAUCAGGACUGUUACUUUGAAAAAAAUUAGAGUGUUUAAAGCAGGCUCACGCUUGAAUACAUUAGCAUGGGAUAGUGAAAUAGGACGUUUGAUUCUAUUUUGUUGGUUUCUAGGAUCGACGUAAUGAUUAAUAGGGAUAGUUUGGGGGCAUUAGUAUUCAAUUGUCAGAGGUGAAAUUCUUGGAUUUAUUGAAGACUAACUACUGCGAAAAGCAUUUGCCAAGGAUGUUUUCAUUAAUCAAGAACG
RNAcentral lists this ribosomal RNA (414 nucleotides) under uncultured Glomus. Its description in RNAcentral is "SSU rRNA". It matches the Rfam family "Eukaryotic small subunit ribosomal RNA", at positions 569 to 985 of the family's 1831-position model. Lineage: Eukaryota; Fungi; Glomeromycota; Glomeromycetes; Glomerales; Glomeraceae. The record is from RNAcentral.